CUCCCCUGCAAUGGGCAAAGGGACAUUUUGUCGGUGAUGGUGUUCUUAUAUCAGUCAAGGGAAGAGCAGAAGGCAGUCCUUUGUUUAUCUGAGCUGGAUGCCUGGCAUGGUGGCCAAAGCUGUUUUAUACCUAGGACACAUAA
Molecule: small nucleolar RNA, 143 nt
Organism: Rattus norvegicus (Norway rat)
Lineage: Eukaryota; Metazoa; Chordata; Mammalia; Rodentia; Muridae
Product: small nucleolar RNA SNORA48
Source: Ensembl